RNAcentral lists this ribosomal RNA (532 nucleotides) under Parmotrema hypotropum. Its description in RNAcentral is "eukaryotic LSU rRNA". It matches the Rfam family "Eukaryotic large subunit ribosomal RNA", at positions 104 to 649 of the family's 3401-position model. The record is from RNAcentral. Lineage: Eukaryota; Fungi; Ascomycota; Lecanoromycetes; Lecanorales; Parmeliaceae.
CAGCUCAAAUUUGAAAUCUGGCCCUUCCGGGGUCCGAGUUGUAAUUUGUAGAGAGUGCUUCGGGGGAGAGUGCGGUCUAAGUCCAUUGGAACAUGGUGUCAUAGAGGGUGAGAAUCCCGUACGUGACCGCGGAUCGAACCCGUGUGAAGCCUCUUCGACGAGUCGAGUUGUUUGGGAAUGCAGCUCAAAAUGGGUGGUAAAUUUCAUCUAAAGCUAAAUAUUGGCUGGAGACCGAUAGCGCACAAGUAGAGUGAUCGAAAGAUGAAAAGCACUUUGGAAAGAGAGUUAAACAGUACGUGAAAUUGUUGAAAGGGAAGCGCUGGCAACCAGACCUGCCCGUAGGCGAUCAACCGCUGUUCUCAGCGGUGCACUCGUUCUGCGAUCAGGCCAGCAUCGGUUUCGGCGGUCGGAUAAAGGCCUUGGGAAUGUAGCUUCCUUUCGGGGGAGUCUUAUAGCCCUCGGUGCAAUGCGGCCAGCCGGGACCGAGGACCGCGCUUCGGCUAGGAUGCUGGCGUAAUGGUUGUCAGCGACC